UUGAUUUUGCAAAGUGCAGAGCAAUGGGAACUGGAGGAAUUCAGCAGGUGAUUGCUGGAGGUGGCACUUGCUCUGGAAGGAAGGGUUUUGCUCAAGUUGUUGGUCUGUUUGGCAGAGCAGGCUUCGUGGCUGUGAAGAAGGAAGAAAAGGAAUUGCAAUGUGAAAUACUGCUCACAUGCAAUCACUGCUGCUGAUCCUGUCAGCUGGGAUGGUUGACAUCUCUGAAGAAAGGUCUUCAAAAGUGUGUAAGAUCCAAGUCUUUUUUGCGAUCAAGAAUGUGUUUAGCCCACUUGUGGGAUCCCUUAGCAUGCAUGCAAGAAGCAAAAGUGGUGCUGCAAUCCGGUUCAAUUUCCCAGAAAGUUUCUCUUCCUCCUGUAGAAGCCCUUACUGGCCCUAACGAAGGAUUAAAGGUGAUGCUAAAGCUCUGUCCUGUCGCUGGCUAUCCCUGGCCAGGCUCCCUGUGUCCCCUGGAGGGAUCUCGCUUGCUCAGGUGCCUGCUGAGAACAUCCCUGCUGCCAUAGCCCAUCCCGCAGUUUCUUUGGUUGCAGGGGGAAACUGGGGGGUGAUCCCUGAUUUCUUUUGGCAUUAAGAACCACUUCCAGCUCCUAAGCCAGACCUGUCAUCCACUUCUGGAGUGCUUAAAAUAAAGUGCACAGAUACAGAGUAAGCUGAAACAGUCAAGAAGCAAUAUAAUACAAAAAUGUUUCGAGUAAAGUGUGUUACUCAGAUCUUUCUAAAGUACAUUUCUCCCUUUAUUCUGAAGGCCACAGCACAGACAACUCUGACUAAUGCAAGUAAUGGAACCAAUCUCUUCCUUUGAUCAUCAAAAAGGUUAUCUUUUUUGUAAACUAGGUCCAACUAGUUUUGCAAUCUGGUUGGAGCAAACAUGAAAGAAAAAGGUUUAAUUAUCUUUCAAUAAAGCACGAUUUCUUUUCUUUUAGCAAAAUGAUCGGCUAAGGCAGCAUCAGCUUGCAACUGUCGCUGUGCGUGUGACACGUAGUGUGCGAGAUGUAUGUAAUGCAUGGCAUUUGUGUGCAUCUUGUGUCUCAUCAUGAGAUGAUAUAACAAUUUGUGCAUUAAAACCAGGAGGAAAAACUAAGCCAGGAUGUUGAGACUUUUCCUAAGUGAUGUGUAAAAUCUAGUGUCUAGAAGAGAUUGAUCUUUUAACUGAAGGCUGAACCAUAUUUAAAAAAGCUUAGUGCCGAGUUUGUAAAUAGUCUCAGAUUUUCAAUGGAGCUAUUCAAAAUAUAAAUACAGAAGAGUGGAGAUGCUUGCUGGAGAUGUAGAGAAGAGAGAAAGCUGCUCGCUCACUUUAUUUAUAUACAAGCAUUUCCUGUGUAUACAUCAAGAUGGAUCAAACAUAGUUUUAAGAGUUAGAAAACUGGUAUUCUUAUUCCACUGGCUACCUAGGUCGGGUGUUUUUUUAUGGUUUGAUAUGGGAGUUACUGGAUGAAACUCUGGCUUGUAUGAUUCAGGAGGUCAGGCUGGGUGGCCAUAAUAGCCUUCUCUGACCUCAAAGUGCAUCAUUUGUGUGCUUUUUAUUUUUAAGACUUCACAAUGAGACUACUUUAAAGUUGGAAAGUAAAGAACGGAAUUGAAAAAA
Oxyura jamaicensis (ruddy duck) is the source of this 1603-nucleotide long non-coding RNA. RefSeq lists it as uncharacterized. The transcript is spliced from 3 exons. The record is from RefSeq and is a predicted model, not a curated record. Lineage: Eukaryota; Metazoa; Chordata; Aves; Anseriformes; Anatidae.